RNAcentral lists this ribosomal RNA (440 nucleotides) under uncultured bacterium. RNAcentral's name for it is "bacterial SSU rRNA". It matches the Rfam family "Bacterial small subunit ribosomal RNA", at positions 338 to 795 of the family's 1533-position model. The record is from RNAcentral.
CCUACGGGUGGCAGCAGUGGGGAAUAUUGGACAAUGGGCGAAAGCCUGAUCCAGCAAUGCCGCGUGUGUGAAGAAGGUCUUAGGGUUGUAAAGCUCUUUCACCGGUGAAGAUAAUGACGGUAACCGGAGAAGAAGCCCCGGCUAACUUCGUGCCAGCAGCCGCGGUAAUACGAAGGGGGCUAGCGUUGUUCGGAAUUACUGGGCGUAAAGCGCGCGUAGGCGGAUAGAUAAGUCAGAGGUGAAAUCCCGGGGCUCAACCCCGGAAUUGCCUUUGAUACUGUUUAUCUUGAGUGCAGAAGAGGUAAGUGGAAUUCCGAGUGUAGAGGUGAAAUUCGUAGAUAUUCGGAAGAACACCAGUGGCGAAGGCGGCUCACUGGACUGGUAUUGACGCUGAGGUGCGAAAGCGUGGGGAGCAAACAGGAUUAGAUACCCGUGUAGUC